GGAGCGGGCCGGACGAUCGCUGUUCUUAGAUGAAGAGAGGAAAGUCCGAACACCAUAGGGCAGCGAGCCGGAUAACAUCCGGGCACCGGUUAAGUUCGGUGACGACAAGUGCAACAGAAAGCAAACCUGCCUUGUAAAAGGUAAAGGGUGAAAUGGUGAGGUAAGAGCUCACCGGCGAAGGCGGCAACGUGUUCGGCCAGGUAAACUCCUCGUGGUGCAAGACCAAAUAGGGAAACACUUUUUGAGCGGCCCGCUCAAAGUGCUGUGAAAGCAGCACGGUGGUUCCGGGUAGGUCGCUCGAGCCGACGGGUAACCGUCGGCCUAGAUGAAUGAUCGUCGCCCGCAAUUUGCGGGAACAAAAUUCGGCUUAUCGGCCUGUCCCCUUG
RNAcentral lists this RNase P RNA (386 nucleotides) under Blastocatellia bacterium. RNAcentral's name for it is "RNase P RNA component class A". It matches the Rfam family "Bacterial RNase P class A". Rfam says of the family: Ribonuclease P (RNase P) is a ubiquitous endoribonuclease, found in archaea, bacteria and eukarya as well as chloroplasts and mitochondria. Its best characterised activity is the generation of mature 5'-ends of tRNAs by cleaving the 5'-leader elements of precursor-tRNAs. The record is from RNAcentral. Lineage: Bacteria; Pseudomonadati; Acidobacteriota; Blastocatellia. RNAcentral also lists the same sequence under 1 other name.